Long non-coding RNA from Bombina bombina (fire-bellied toad), 791 nucleotides. RefSeq lists it as uncharacterized. The transcript has 3 exons. NCBI's taxonomy places the organism in Eukaryota, Metazoa, Chordata, Amphibia, Anura, Bombinatoridae. The record is from RefSeq and is a predicted model, not a curated record.
AGGUACACAGGUUAUGUACACACUCUUUAUACAUAGGUACACAGGUACGGUUAUGUACACACUCUUUAUACAUAGGUACACAGGUACGGUUAUGUACACACUCUUUAUACAUAGGUACACAGGUACGGUUAUGUACACACUCUUUAUACAUAGGUACACAGGUACGGUUAUGUACACACUCUUUAUACAUAGGUACACAGGUUAUGUACACACUCUUUAUACAUAGGUACACAGGUACGGUUAUGUACUCACUCUUUAUACAUAGGUACACAGGUACUGUUAUGUACACACUCUUUAUACAUAGGUACACAGGUACGGUUAUGUACACACUCUUUAUACAUAGGUACACAGGUACGGUUAUGUACACACUCUUUAUACAUAGGUACACAGGUACGGUUAUGUACACAAUCUUUAUACAUAGGUACACAGGUAUGGUUAUGUACACACACUUUAUACAUAGGUACACAGGUACGGUUAUGUACACACUCUUUAUACAUAGCUACACAGGUACGGUUAUGUACACACACUUUAUACAUAGGUACACAGGUACGGUUAUGUACACACUCUUUAUACAUAGGUACACAGGUACGGUUAUGUACACACUCUUUAUACACAGGUACUGUUAUGUACACACUCUUUAUACAUAGGUACACAGGUACGGUUAUGUACACACUCUUUAUACAUAGGUACACAGGUACAGUUAUGUACACACUCUUUAUACAUAGGUACACAGGUACGGUUAUGUACACACUCUUUAUACAUAGGUACACAGGUACGGUUAUGUACACACU